UUGUUUUUCUAAUUGUCGCCUGAUGCGUCCAUGCAGCGUGUGUGAAGAAGGCCUUCGAGGUUGUAAAGCACUUUCAGUCGUGAGGAAGGUAGUGUGUUUAAUAGAUGCAUUAUUUGACGUUAGCGACAGAAGAAGCACCGGCUAACUCCGUGCCAGCAGCCGCGGUAAUACGGAGGGUGCGAGCGUUAAUCGGAAUUACUGGGCGUAAAGCGCAUGCAGGUGGUUUGUUAAGUCAGAUGUGAAAGCCCGGGGCUCAACCUCGGAAUAGCAUUUGAAACUGGCAGACUAGAGUACUGUAGAGGGGGGUAGAAUUUCAGGUGUAGCGGUGAAAUGCGUAGAGAUCUGAAGGAAUACCGGUGGCGAAGGCGGCCCCCUGGACAGAUACUGACACUCAGAUGCGAAAGCGUGGGGAGCAAACAGGAUUAAAUACCCAAAAAAAUCCC
This 443-nucleotide ribosomal RNA is filed under the name Vibrio sp. Its description in RNAcentral is "bacterial SSU rRNA". It matches the Rfam family "Bacterial small subunit ribosomal RNA", at positions 359 to 796 of the family's 1533-position model. The record is from RNAcentral. Lineage: Bacteria; Pseudomonadati; Pseudomonadota; Gammaproteobacteria; Vibrionales; Vibrionaceae.